Molecule: ribosomal RNA, 626 nt
Filed under: Escherichia coli
Lineage: Bacteria; Pseudomonadati; Pseudomonadota; Gammaproteobacteria; Enterobacterales; Enterobacteriaceae
Also listed under: 11 other names
Description: bacterial SSU rRNA
Rfam family: Bacterial small subunit ribosomal RNA
Source: RNAcentral
GAAUUGACGGGGGCCCGCACAAGCGGUGGAGCAUGUGGUUUAAUUCGAUGCAACGCGAAGAACCUUACCUGGUCUUGACAUCCACGGAAGUUUUCAGAGAUGAGAAUGUGCCUUCGGGAACCGUGAGACAGGUGCUGCAUGGCUGUCGUCAGCUCGUGUUGUGAAAUGUUGGGUUAAGUCCCGCAACGAGCGCAACCCUUAUCCUUUGUUGCCAGCGGUCCGGCCGGGAACUCAAAGGAGACUGCCAGUGAUAAACUGGAGGAAGGUGGGGAUGACGUCAAGUCAUCAUGGCCCUUACGACCAGGGCUACACACGUGCUACAAUGGCGCAUACAAAGAGAAGCGACCUCGCGAGAGCAAGCGGACCUCAUAAAGUGCGUCGUAGUCCGGAUUGGAGUCUGCAACUCGACUCCAUGAAGUCGGAAUCGCUAGUAAUCGUGGAUCAGAAUGCCACGGUGAAUACGUUCCCGGGCCUUGUACACACCGCCCGUCACACCAUGGGAGUGGGUUGCAAAAGAAGUAGGUAGCUUAACCUUCGGGAGGGCGCUUACCACUUUGUGAUUCAUGACUGGGGUGAAGUCGUAACAAGGUAACCGUAGGGGAACCUGCGGUUGGAUCACCUCCUUA